CACGUAGGGGGCAAGCGUUGUCCGGAUUUAUUGGGCGUAAAGAGCGUGUAGGCGGCUAGAUAGGUCCGUUGUGAAAACUCGAGGCUCAACCUCGAGACGUCGAUGGAAACCAUCUGGCUAGAGUCCGGAAGAGGAGAGUGGAAUUCCUGGUGUAGCGGUGAAAUGCGCAGAUAUCAGGAAGAACACCCGUGGCGAAGGCGGCUCUCUGGUACGUGACUGACGCUGAGACGCGAAAGCGUGGGGAGCAAACAGG
Molecule: ribosomal RNA, 253 nt
Filed under: uncultured bacterium
Lineage: Bacteria
Description: partial 16S ribosomal RNA
Rfam family: Bacterial small subunit ribosomal RNA
Source: RNAcentral